UGGGGAAUAUUGCACAAUGGGCGCAAGCCUGAUGCAGCCAUGCCGCGUGUAUGAAGAAGGCCUUCGGGUUGUAAAGUACUUUCAGCGGGGAGGAAGGUGUUGUGGUUAAUAACCACAGCAAUUGACGUUACCCGCAGAAGAAGCACCGGCUAACUCCGUCCCAGCAGCCGCGGUAAUACGGAGGGUGCAAGCGUUAAUCGGAAUUACUGGGCGUAAAGCGCACGCAGGCGGUCGGUCAAGUCGGAUGUGAAAUCCCCGGGCUCAACCUGGGAACUGCAUCCGAAACUGGCAGGCUUGAGUCUUGUAGAGGGGGGUAGAAUUCCAGGUGUAGCGGUGAAAUGCGUAGAGAUCUGGAGGAAUACCGGUGGCGAAGGCGGCCCCCUGGACAAAGACUGACGCUCAGGUGCGAAAGCGUGGGGAGCAAACA
This 427-nucleotide ribosomal RNA is filed under the name uncultured bacterium. RNAcentral's name for it is "partial 16S ribosomal RNA". It matches the Rfam family "Bacterial small subunit ribosomal RNA", at positions 355 to 774 of the family's 1533-position model. The record is from RNAcentral.